This 362-nucleotide long non-coding RNA is filed under the name Gossypium barbadense (sea-island cotton). Its description in RNAcentral is "long non-coding RNA (GBAR_LNC018266)". The record is from RNAcentral. Lineage: Eukaryota; Viridiplantae; Streptophyta; Magnoliopsida; Malvales; Malvaceae.
AGGUGCUUAAAUGCAUCCAAAUUGGGUUAUUGUGCGUGCAAUCAGAUCCGGCAGACAGACCAACUAUGUCAACAGUGGUUGCAAUGUUAGGAAGCGACACCAUAACAGUUCCUCUACCAGCGAAACCUGCAUUUUAUGUUGGACGUUUUAUUGCAGAAUCAGUUCAACCCAAUUCAAGUGAUAAAAUAUGUUCUGUUAAUGAAGUUACGAUUUCAAACAUGUCACCUCGGUGAUUGAUUAGUCAUUCCAUCUUCAAUUUUUUCACUAUUACAAGAUAUGAUAGAUUCUAAAAAUUUUGUUAAGCCGCUCUUUUAGCUAAAUGUUCAGCAACAUUCCAGCAAAACACAGGGAGAUGUUCUUCC